This 74-nucleotide transfer RNA is filed under the name Candidatus Woesearchaeota archaeon. RNAcentral's name for it is "tRNA-Phe". It matches the Rfam family "tRNA". From Rfam's summary of the family: Transfer RNA (tRNA) molecules are approximately 80 nucleotides in length. Their secondary structure includes four short double-helical elements and three loops (D, anti-codon, and T loops). The record is from RNAcentral. Lineage: Archaea; Nanobdellati; Candidatus Woesearchaeota.
GGGACUGUAGCUCAGCCUGGGAGAGCACCACGCUGAAGACGUGGCUGUCGGGGGUUCAAAUCCCCCCGGUCUCA